GCAGAAGUGGCCGAGUGGUCUAAGGCGGUAGAUUUAGGCUCUAUUCCGAAAGGGCGUGGGUUCAAACCCCACCUUCUGCA
This is a non-coding RNA of Nymphaea colorata (pocket water lily), 80 nucleotides long. The record is from the annotation of a RefSeq genome assembly. NCBI's taxonomy places the organism in Eukaryota, Viridiplantae, Streptophyta, Magnoliopsida, Nymphaeales, Nymphaeaceae.